RNAcentral lists this long non-coding RNA (720 nucleotides) under Canis lupus dingo (dingo). Its description in RNAcentral is "lncRNA (ENSCAFG00020003407.1)". Lineage: Eukaryota; Metazoa; Chordata; Mammalia; Carnivora; Canidae. The record is from RNAcentral.
AUGCUGAGGAAUGCUUCCUCUGGGGUUUCGACCGGCACGGCUAUUUGUCAUGGCCUCAGAAGCUGCUUGGCUACAGAGACCUGGAAGCUUGGGGAUCUCAAGAUACACCUUGACCAGUGGAGUCUGUCUGAGCCUUGUGUAACCUUGUCACUGUCUUCCAGGGCAGAAUUGGCUGGCAGGGGAGUCUGCAGAAUGCUGUCUUCAGGCAGUGAGGAGGUGUAGCAGGUGAGUGUUAGCUUUGAGGUGGUGAUUCUGUGUGGCCCAGACUCAGGGUCGCCCCACACAAGCCUUCCUUGUCCUCCCUGACCAGAGCAGACCACGCUGUGCUCCCUCUCAGGACUUUCUGGACCUAAACCCUCAUAGAUCUUCCUGCACUUUCUUUUUGUGCAUUAUGUUUAUAUGUACACACAUGUGUGUGGAUAAGUAUGCACUACACAUUUAUAUCAAUUUCUGUUUUCCCUGCUAGAAGUUUCUAGAAGGCAAGGCCUGUGUAGGUUUUGCUCUGCAGUGUCAGCAGCACCUACACAUAGUAGGUGCUCACAAAUUUUUAUGGAAUGUAUGCAGAACUUCAGGUGUCUACCUGACUUCACCUGACUUCACCAGAACAGAAGCUCAUCCUCAGACGUCCUUCAGCUCCCAUGGAACCACACUCAGCACACACUCAGUUCUGACAAAUACAGGUGUUUGAAGGGAUGCGUGCAUGGCUCAGUGGUUGAGUGU